Cyanistes caeruleus (blue tit) is the source of this 387-nucleotide long non-coding RNA. RefSeq lists it as uncharacterized. The record is from RefSeq and is a predicted model, not a curated record. NCBI's taxonomy places the organism in Eukaryota, Metazoa, Chordata, Aves, Passeriformes, Paridae.
CAGCUGUGCUGCAUUGAGGGGAAUCUCUCCAGGUUUCUUGCAUUUUCACUGCUAGUCCCAGACAUUUCCUCAGAGGCUGCAUGUCACCAGAAGAUUCUGAUGUCCUCUCUGAGUCCUCUAGUGCUUCUGGGAGGUUACAGGUGUGAAACACAACACGAGGAGGUGCAAAGCUGACGUACUCCUGGCUUGGAACAUCCCAUGUGUGAGUGUGCUGAACCUCUUUCUGACAGUUUUGCUCUAAAACUCCAGGCUUGGGGCACCCCACGUGUGUGACUGUGAACUUUUUCCUGCUAGAAUUCCUCCAGAGCAUUUGGGGACUCCAGCGAAGCCAUCAUCAAGCAAGGGCCUUUGCUGGCUCUAUAAUAGAUUUCUUCCCCUGUUUACUGC